GCCUCUCUUUAGUGGCUAAACGCUGGACCGCGCCCGCCGGAGGACAGACGCAAAAAAAUUCUUUCAGAAGAGCUGUCAGUCUGAGCGUUAGCAAGCAAAAAUCAGUUAAAACUUUCAACAACGGAUCUCUUGGUUCCGGCAUCGAUGAAGAACGCAGCGAAAUGCGAUAAGUAAUGUGAAUUGCAGAAUUCCGUGAAUCAUCGAAUCUUUGAACGCACAUUGCGCCCCCUGGCAUUCCGGGGGGCAUGCCUGUUCGAGCGUCAUU
This 265-nucleotide ribosomal RNA is filed under the name Trichophyton interdigitale. Its description in RNAcentral is "5.8S ribosomal RNA". The stretch from base 110 to 263 matches the Rfam family "5.8S ribosomal RNA". From Rfam's summary of the family: 5.8S ribosomal RNA (5.8S rRNA) is a component of the large subunit of the eukaryotic ribosome. It is transcribed by RNA polymerase I as part of the 45S precursor that also contains 18S and 28S rRNA. Lineage: Eukaryota; Fungi; Ascomycota; Eurotiomycetes; Onygenales; Arthrodermataceae. The record is from RNAcentral.